RNAcentral lists this ribosomal RNA (425 nucleotides) under uncultured bacterium. Its description in RNAcentral is "partial 16S ribosomal RNA". It matches the Rfam family "Bacterial small subunit ribosomal RNA", at positions 354 to 796 of the family's 1533-position model. The record is from RNAcentral.
GUGGGGAAUCUUAGACAAUGGGGGAAACCCUGAUCUAGCCAUGCCGCGUGAGCGAUGAAGGCCUUAGGGUUGUAAAGCUCUUUCAGCUGGGAAGAUAAUGACGGUACCAGCAGAAGAAGCCCCGGCUAACUCCGUGCCAGCAGCCGCGGUAAUACGGAGGGGGCUAGCGUUGUUCGGAAUUACUGGGCGUAAAGCGCGCGUAGGCGGACCAGAAAGUUGGAUGUGAAAUCCCAGGGCUCAACCUUGGAACUGCCUUCAAAACUCCUGGUCUGGAGUUCGAGAGAGGUGAGUGGAAUUCCGAGUGUAGAGGUGAAAUUCGUAGAUAUUCGGAGGAACACCAGUGGCGAAGGCGGCUCACUGGCUCGAUACUGACGCUGAGGUGCGAAAGCGUGGGGAGCAAACAGGAUUAGAAACCCUAGUAGUCC